GACGAACCGUGCGAACGUUAUUCGGAAUUACUGGGCGUAAAGGGCUCGUAGGCGGCCAACUAAGUCAGACGUGAAAUCCCUCGGCUUAACCGGGGAACUGCGUCUGAUACUGGAUGGCUUGAGAUUGGGAGAGGGAUGCGGAAUUCCAGGUGUAGCGGUGAAAUGCGUAGAUAUCUGGAGGAACACCGGUGGCGAAGGCGGCAUCCUGGACCAACACUGACGCUGAGGAGCGAAAGCCAGGGGAGCAAACGGG
RNAcentral lists this ribosomal RNA (253 nucleotides) under uncultured bacterium. RNAcentral describes it as "partial 16S ribosomal RNA". It matches the Rfam family "Bacterial small subunit ribosomal RNA", at positions 524 to 776 of the family's 1533-position model. The record is from RNAcentral.